CUGUUUGAUCAUCUCGCAAUUAAGGUUUAAUCAUUAAGGGCAGAUUAGUAUUUUUCAUUCUUGUCACAGGGGUAAUUCAGACAUUUACUAAAAACAAGGAAAUUACGCGAGUUCGUUAUCUCCAGCAUCCCGAGUAGUAAUGCUCGAAACAUAGAUGAUGUCGAAUUUGAAGAUGCUGAGGUCGAUACCGGACAUGAUGAUGCAGAGCAAUAUCGGAAUCCGACAUCAGACAACAACGUUACCUUAGACGAUCAGACUAAUGAAAGAUUGUAUAUCCCAGAGGUAGCUUCAUCAUGUGUUCCUGUUAUUGGAAUGGAGUUCUCUUCCAUAGAACAAGCAUAUGUUUUUUAUCAGACAUAUGCCAAGAAGGCAGGGUUCUCCGCUCGAAAAGGAGGUGAACAUCAUGUUGGUGGUAUUAUCAAGUCUAAAUAUUUUGUGUGUUCAAAAGAGGGGCAUAAACCACAGGUAUUUGAUGAGAAUUAUUCGAAGUUGUCUAAGCCAUAUAAACGUAGGAACAGACCGACUAUU
Long non-coding RNA from Helianthus annuus (common sunflower), 528 nucleotides. RefSeq lists it as uncharacterized. Lineage: Eukaryota; Viridiplantae; Streptophyta; Magnoliopsida; Asterales; Asteraceae. The transcript has 3 exons. The record is from RefSeq and is a predicted model, not a curated record.